GGGGCUGUAGCCGAAGAGGAAGAGCACCACCCACACUACUAGGUGGAGGUCGUAGGUUCGAACCCUAUCAGUCCCA
This 76-nucleotide transfer RNA is filed under the name Candidatus Saccharibacteria bacterium RAAC3_TM7_1. RNAcentral describes it as "tRNA-Cys (ACA) (tRNA-Cys-ACA-1-1)". It matches the Rfam family "tRNA". Rfam says of the family: Transfer RNA (tRNA) molecules are approximately 80 nucleotides in length. Lineage: Bacteria; Candidatus Saccharimonadota. The record is from Rfam by way of RNAcentral.